GUGAAGAAGGCCUUCGGGUUGUAAAGCACUUUCAGUAGGGAGGAAGGUAGUGUAGUUAACACCUGCACUAUUUGACGUUACCUACAGAAGAAGCACCGGCUAACUCCGUGCCAGCAGCCGCGGUAAUACGGAGGGUGCGAGCGUUAAUCGGAAUUACUGGGCGUAAAGCGCAUGCAGGCGGCCUGUUAAGUCAGAUGUGAAAGCCCGGGGCGUUAACCCUCGGAAUUGCAUUUGUAAACUAGGCAGGCUAGAGUCUUGUAGAGGGGGGUAGGAAUUUCAGGUGUAGCGGUGAAAUGCGUAGAGAUCUGAAGGAAUACCAGUGGCGAAGGCGGCCCCCUGGACAAAGACUGACGCUCAGAUGCGAAAGCGUGGGGAGCAAACAGGAUUAGAUACCCUGGUAG
This 401-nucleotide ribosomal RNA is filed under the name uncultured bacterium. RNAcentral describes it as "bacterial SSU rRNA". It matches the Rfam family "Bacterial small subunit ribosomal RNA", at positions 405 to 793 of the family's 1533-position model. The record is from RNAcentral.